RNAcentral lists this ribosomal RNA (237 nucleotides) under uncultured bacterium. RNAcentral's name for it is "partial 16S ribosomal RNA". It matches the Rfam family "Bacterial small subunit ribosomal RNA", at positions 524 to 760 of the family's 1533-position model. The record is from RNAcentral.
GACGGAGGAUGCAAGUGUUAUCCGGAAUCACUGGGCGUAAAGCGUCUGUAGGUGGUUCGAAAAGUCCACUGAUUAAAGAUUGAGCUUAACUUCAAAAUGCCGUGGAAACUUUCAAACUAGAGUAUGGUAGGGGUAGAGGGAAUUUCCAGUGGAGCGGUGAAAUGCGUAGAUAUUGGAAAGACCACCGAUGGCGAAGGCACUCGUACUGGGCCAUUACUGACACUGAGAGACGAAAGC